CCAUAUCUUUAAUCGGUCACCAAUUCAACUGUAGGACCAUCAGUUUAUGAGUCUACCAACAUGUCCUCUGGUGUGGAUGUAUCUUCUAUUUCUGGGUUUAUUUAGAUCACAUGUGUCAAAGUCAAGGCCCGGGGGCCGGAUCCGGCCCUCCAGCCAGCUGUGGUUCCGACUGUCGGACGUGUUUGCUGUGGAGAAGUGACAGAGGUGGAUGUUCCUUCAUCGUUUCCAAACGGCGUUUGCAGACCGCCGCCUCUGUUUCAAACCCGCCAACGAUGAAGGCGGCAGCUCGUGAGGCUAACGGUCUGGAUUCUACACUCGGAUUUAUUUCUGGAUGACUGAAACAUCUCUGAUCACGUUCUGAACCUGAUCUCCGGCUGAUUAUUGAGGAACUCCUGAGGGCAGAUUUCCAGAAGAAAUCAGCUGAUUGAUGAAGCUGCAACGGUUCAAUCAAGAAGUCCAGAAACUCCUCACCUGGAGGAAAGAGAAACCUCCACACACAAGAGAAGUUUCCAGAUCAUAAAAAUGAUUUUUCUUUUUUUUUAAACUACAUUAAUAAUAAAUACAAAACAGAUUGUAAAUGAAUUUUUGAUUUACAUGGAGAAGAAAGGUUUCUGACUUGAUGAGAAAAGAGAUUUCUCUCAAACUGAUGAAGGAAAGACGUCAGACAGGAUUCUACUGGGACUGCAGCAAACGGAUAUUUCAAUAGUUGAUUAGCCACAACUAUUGAAAUGGUCAACGACUGAUUCAAUAGCCGAUUAGUCACGAUUAUUUAAUUUAUUGACGACUAAUUCAAUAGUCGACGACCAUUGAAUCAGUUGUCAACUAUUGAAUUAGUUGUUGAGUGUCGAAAUAGUUAACGACUGAUUCAAUAGUCGAUCAGUCACGACUAUUGAAUCAGUCAACGACUGAUUCAAUAGCUGAUUAGCUACGACAACUGAAUUAGUCAGCAACUAUUCAGUUGUCAACUAUUGAAUCAGCUGUUGACUGACAAAAUAGUCAACAACUAAGUCAAUAGCCGAUUAGUCACGAUUAUUGAAUUUAUUGAAAACUAAUUCAAUAGUCGAUGACCAUUGAAUCAGUUGUUGAGUGUAGAAACAAUUGACGACUGAUUAAAUCGUCAAUUUGCCAUGACUAUCAAAUUAGUUGACGACCAAUUCAGUAGUUGACAAUUGAUUAAAUAGUUGUCAACUAUUGAAUUAGUUGUUGAGUGUCGAAAUAGUUAACGACGGAUUCAAUAGUCGAUUAGCCACGCCCAUUGAAAUAAUUGAUGACUAAUUUAAUACCUGAUUAGCUACGACUUUUAAAAUCGUCAACGAACAAUUCAAUAGUUAAUGACCGAUUCAAUAGUCGACAACUAUUGAAUUAAUUGUUGACAGUCGAAAUAGUCAAUUCAACAGUCAUGACUAAUCAACUAAUCAUUGCAGCCUGAGUCUUUACAGCUUCUUUUCUCUAAAUUAUACAUAAAAUGUUCCUUUUAAAAGCUUUUAUUUGUCUCUUUUUUCUCAAUAAGAACCAUUUGCAUCCAUAUUUGUUUUCAGACUCAUGUUUUUAUCCAUUUUUAUCAUCUGUUUCUGUCACUCUUGCUAAAACCCUUUAGUUUCUUGUAGCAAAAUGUCAUUUUGAUCAUCUUUUGAUUUCUUUUACAAGAAUUCCAACCGUUCUUUUAGCACAUUUGCAUCAAAUAAACCUUUUAAUUUGAUUAAUUUAGUUUAUGCAUCUUAUAUGAUGUCUUCAGAUUCUGGAGCAGAUUUAAACCGCAGUGCCGUGCAACAAGAACAGCAGCAGCAUGGUUUCUAUCCAGCUGUACGGUUCUGAUCCAGAUUCCAGUUCAGAAGAGGAAAACAAAGACGUUCAUGGAUCUGUUCGUCUACAAGCGGAUGCAUCGGACUGGAGCUUGUAGCUCCGCCCAGCUUAUUCUCUACGUCACAAAUACGAUCUUUUACUUUGUCUACUUCUGAUCCACAACAAUUUAAAUAAAAACAAUCAGAAAUGUCA
Molecule: long non-coding RNA, 1995 nt
Organism: Oryzias melastigma (Indian medaka)
Lineage: Eukaryota; Metazoa; Chordata; Actinopteri; Beloniformes; Adrianichthyidae
Exons: 3
Source: RefSeq, a predicted model, not a curated record